Molecule: ribosomal RNA, 253 nt
Filed under: uncultured bacterium
Lineage: Bacteria
Description: partial 16S ribosomal RNA
Rfam family: Bacterial small subunit ribosomal RNA
Source: RNAcentral
UACGGAGGGUGCAAGCGUUAUCCGGAUUUACUGGGUUUAAAGGGUGCGUAGGCGGCCUUCUAAGUCGAACGUGAAAUCCCCGGGCUCAACCCGGGAACUGCGUCCGAUACUGGAAGGCUUGAAUCCGGGAGAGGGAUGUGGAAUUCCAGGUGUAGCGGUGAAAUGCGUAGAUAUCUGGAGGAACACCGGUGGCGAAGGCGACAUCCUGGACCGGUAUUGACGCUGAGGCGCGAAAGCCAGGGGAGCAAACGGG